UACAGAGGUCCCAAGCGUUGUUCGGAUUCACUGGGCGUAAAGGGUGCGUAGGCGGUCGGGUAAGUCUGAUGUGAAAUCUCACAGCUUAACUGUGAAACUGCAUUGGAUACUAUUCGGCUUGAGAGUUGGAGGGGGGACUGGAAUUCUUGGUGUAGCAGUGAAAUGCGUAGAUAUCAAGAGGAACACCAGUGGCGAAGGCGGCUCUCUGGACCAGCACUGACACUGAGGCACGAAAGCGUGGGGAGCAAACAGG
This 253-nucleotide ribosomal RNA is filed under the name uncultured bacterium. RNAcentral's name for it is "partial 16S ribosomal RNA". It matches the Rfam family "Bacterial small subunit ribosomal RNA", at positions 524 to 776 of the family's 1533-position model. The record is from RNAcentral.